AACGAACGCUGGCGGCAUGCCUAACACAUGCAAGUCGAACGAGACCUUCGGGUCUAGUGGCGCACGGGUGCGUAACGCGUGGGAACCUGCCCUUAGGUUCGGAAUAACUCCCCGAAAGGGGUGCUAAUACCGGAUAAUGUCUUCGGACCAAAGAUUUAUCGCCUUUGGAUGGGCCCGCGUUGGAUUCGCUAGUUGGUAGGGUAAAAGCCUACCAAGGCGACGAUCCAUAGCUGGUCUGAGAGGAUGAUCAGCCACACUGGGACUGAGACACGGCCCAGACUCCUACGGGAGGCAGCAGUGGGGAAUAUUGGACAAGGGGCGAAAGCCUGAUCCAGCAAUGCCGCGUGAGUGAUGAAGGCCUUAGGGUUGUAAAGCUCUUUUACCCGGGAUGAUAAUGACAGUACCGGGAGAAUAAGCUCCGGCUAACUACGUG
This 433-nucleotide ribosomal RNA is filed under the name uncultured bacterium. Its description in RNAcentral is "partial 16S ribosomal RNA". It matches the Rfam family "Bacterial small subunit ribosomal RNA", at positions 29 to 507 of the family's 1533-position model. The record is from RNAcentral.